Molecule: ribosomal RNA, 547 nt
Filed under: uncultured eukaryote
Lineage: Eukaryota
Description: SSU rRNA
Rfam family: Eukaryotic small subunit ribosomal RNA
Source: RNAcentral
UGUAGUCAUAUGCUUGUCUCAAAGAUUAAGCCAUGCAUGUCUAAGUAUAAGCAAUUAUACAGCGAAACUGCGAAUGGCUCAUUAUAUAAGUUAUCGUUUAUUUGAUAGUACCUUACUACUUGGAUAACCGUGGUAAUUCUAGAGCUAAUACAUGCUAAAAAUCCCGACUUCGGAAGGGAUGUAUUUAUUAGAUUAAAAACCAAUGCCCUUCGGGGCUCCUUGGUGAUUCAUGAUAACUUCUCGAAUCGCACGGCCUUGCGCCGGCGAUGGUUCAUUCAAAUUUCUGCCCUAUCAACUUUCGACGGCUGGGUCUUGGCCAGCCAUGGUGACAACGAGUAACGGAGGGUUAGGGCUCGGCCCCGGAGAAGGAGCCUGAGAAACGGCUACUACAUCCAAGGAAGGCAGCAGGCGCGCAAAUUACCCAAUCCCGACUCGGGGAGGUAGUGACAAUAAAUACUGAUACAGGGCUCUUUUGGGUCUUGUAAUUGGAAUGAGUACAAUUUAAAUCCCUUAACGAGGAACAAUUGGAGGGCAAGUCUGGUAAUCG